This 305-nucleotide ribosomal RNA is filed under the name uncultured bacterium. Its description in RNAcentral is "bacterial SSU rRNA". It matches the Rfam family "Bacterial small subunit ribosomal RNA", at positions 333 to 652 of the family's 1533-position model. The record is from RNAcentral.
AUCAACCUACGGGAGGCAGCAGUGGGGAAUAUUGGGCAAUGGGCGCAAGCCUGACCCAGCAACGCCGCGUGAAGGAAGAAGGCUUUCGGGUUGUAAACUUCUUUUCUCAGGGACGAAGCAAGUGACGGUACCUGUCGAAUAAGCCACGGCUAACUACGUGCCAGCAGCCGCGGUAAUACGUAGGUGGCAAGCGUUGUCCGGAUUUACUAGGUGUAAAGGGCGUGUAGCCGGGUUGACAAGUCAGAUGUGAAAUCCUGCGGCUUAACCGCAGAACUGCAUUUGAAACUGUUGAUCUUGAGCACUGG